AUGAUCCUGAGAGUUCAACUUGUUUUGGAAGGAGAGGUUUGUUAUGCAGCAGGAGUGUUGCCUUCUCAAUGUCAUUUUCCCAUCUGUCCUGCUCAGCAGCGUUACCGUCUGGGCUGCUCCAUGUGUGCAGUCAGCAGUCAGACCAUACUGCAGAGUGACACACUGAGCCUCAAAACUAUUCUUGUACAACGUCUGCCGUGCUCCACAUCUUCCUCAAAGGAACUGUGGAUACAGUUUAAACUUGUUUAUAUUCAUUCCAGUGGCCAGGAAAAUAAAUAAUUCCUUUUUCUGUAUUUGGAGUUCCCUCAACAAUAGGUUUACUAUUAUUUAAUCCUUCUUACUUUAUGAGCUAUAUUUAUCUUCUGGUACUCAUAGAAUUCUAUUGCUUUGCACUAGUCCCAUGGAAAUUUAGGGAAACGUCUCAACCUAUUGCAAGGGAAACAGGCUCUAAAAACCUUACUUUGUCUAAAAUUUGCCAUCGCUUUCCCCACAGCAUGAACUGCCCUGUGCACAAUAUGCAAAAGAUGUUUCAUUUAAUGUCAAUGCUUAUAAAAGAUCAACCAUAACCUAUUGGUGACAAUACCUUUACUGUUUCAUUCAAGAUUUAUUUGGCAUUGCAAGCAAUGUGUAUUAAUCCUGUCCUGGAAAGUACUUUGGCUGGAAAUGUGUGGUAUCUUGCAGAUGGUUUGCCAAACUUUUGUACGUAUCUUGUGAUUCUUGCCACCCUUCCUUGUGUUUAGCUCUCCUGACUUUGUGGAUUUUGUGGUUCAACUGAAAACAUUCCAGAUCAGGAAUGAGCAUGUGCUCUAUAUUUAACUCUAUAUUUAGUCAUGUCAUCAGUAGUACCAUUGUGCAAGUUGCUUAUCUUUGUUAGCUACGUAAGGGAUUGUCCUUCCUCUUCUUGUAAAUAACAGAGAUCUUUAAAUUCAAAUAGUUGCCACCUAUUCUUUCUGUGAGCUAGCUAGCCAGUCAGUAAUGGUGCUCUUCAGUAGAUAUCAGGUGAUGACAAUUUUUUAUGUCUGCCUAUAUAUAAAAUUUGAAUAUUUUGAAUCAGCUUCUGUUUUCAUAGAAAUCUAGGCUAAAAAGAAUCUUGUGAGAUCAUCUGUUCAUAGUUCCUAAUCUGAAGCAAAAUAAGUAUACUUAGAAUCUCCCUUAUGGUUUUGUCUGAACAGCCUUUGGAAAUUGGUGAUAAAGGGAAUACCAUGAUAUUCCUACUGUUUUACUGCUAAUUACAUUUGGGAAAAUGUCUAUGUAAUAUCUAUUUUCAAAACUUAUCUCGGCAUAAAUCAAGCUGAUUUCUACUUGCCCUGAAAUGGAUGAACAAGGAAUAAAUUUGAUUGGUACGAAUUAAAAAACA
This 1357-nucleotide long non-coding RNA is filed under the name Calidris pugnax (ruff). Its description in RNAcentral is "lncRNA (ENSCPUG00000001975.1)". The record is from RNAcentral. Lineage: Eukaryota; Metazoa; Chordata; Aves; Charadriiformes; Scolopacidae.